UACGUAGGGUCCGAGCGUUGUCCGGAUUUAUUGGGCGUAAAGAGCUCGUAGGCGGUGUGUCGCGUCGGCCGUGAAAACUUGGGGCUUAACUCUGAGCGUGCGGUCGAUACGGGCAUCACUUGAGUUCGGCAGGGGAGACUGGAAUUCCUGGUGUAGCGGUGAAAUGCGCAGAUAUCAGGAGGAACACCGGUGGCGAAGGCGGGUCUCUGGGCCGAUACUG
This 220-nucleotide ribosomal RNA is filed under the name uncultured bacterium. RNAcentral's name for it is "partial 16S ribosomal RNA". It matches the Rfam family "Bacterial small subunit ribosomal RNA", at positions 524 to 742 of the family's 1533-position model. The record is from RNAcentral.